Mercenaria mercenaria is the source of this 432-nucleotide long non-coding RNA. RefSeq lists it as uncharacterized. NCBI's taxonomy places the organism in Eukaryota, Metazoa, Mollusca, Bivalvia, Venerida, Veneridae. The record is from RefSeq and is a predicted model, not a curated record. The transcript is spliced from 4 exons.
CGGUAACAUACGAGGGUAUCCAAACAACACAUACUAUCCAAAUAAAAAAAUAUGGAGUUCCGGUUUAGACCAUGGGCGUGCGACGACCCCGAUGAAAUUCGGGAUAUCACGGUCUUCGUUAAUGUUAAUAAGCGUCCGUCAGAUCAGUGGGCGAAACGCAAUAUCCGCACAAUAAGAUGUCUGCGACUCGAAAGAAUAUUCAAAAAUAUGGACGGCACUCCAUUACAGCAUGUGCAUGGUUGGACCUGUUGACAUUUUUAGAAACGCAUCUUGGUCUAUUAUACAGAGUAUUGUUGUACUGCUCCAAAGUGCUUGUUGACAGACUGAAACCACUUGCUUGUGGCUCAUAAGGUUCACUUCUUGAGAGCAGGCAGCUACAAAAUGGAAGGUCAACAAAUCCAGUAUACUUGAAAAGCAAGAAAGAAACACAGA